CGGCACCUCAAGUGGUCAGGAUGAUUAUUGGGCCUAAAGCAUCCGUAGCCGGCGCUGUAAGUUUUCGGUUAAAUCUGUACGCUCAACGUACAGGCUGCCGGGAAUACUGCAGCGCUAGGGAGUGGGAGAGGUAGACGGUACUCGGUAGGAAGGGGUAAAAUCCUUUGAUCUAUUGAUGACCACCUGUGGCGAAGGCGGUCUACCAGAACACGUCCGACGGUGUGGGAUGAAAGCUGGGGGAGCAAACCGGAUUAGAUACCCGAGUAGUCC
RNAcentral lists this ribosomal RNA (270 nucleotides) under uncultured archaeon. RNAcentral describes it as "partial 16S ribosomal RNA". It matches the Rfam family "Archaeal small subunit ribosomal RNA", at positions 477 to 747 of the family's 1478-position model. The record is from RNAcentral.